AUGCCGAGGUGCUGGAUCACUACCUACGCCAUGCUCACUCCUUCGCCGCUCCCACAUUCCAAUUCGUUUGCCGCUAGCCAUGCCGAGGUGUUAGAUCACUACGUACACCAUGCCCAUGCUGAAGCGGCGGCUCGAGCUCACUUGAGCAAAUCAAGGCUAGACACGAUGCCCGGAUCAUGGUCGGCCUACCUCCGGACUAGCCAAAGCCGCAGGAGGAGGACUCCAAAGGAGGACACAAGCAAGGCGGAUCCAGCUGCGAGCUUCGCCAUGCCCAAGGCGUUGGCAGAGUUUGAGAUGGCCCAAACGGAGGAGGUGGCAGAGCAGCAAGCCAUCCUCGACUCCAUCCAUUCAGAGGCGGAGGCCAACCACCACCUCCUCCACCAGGUGGACGCCGACAUGCAGUGCGCCAGUCCAGCAAAUGAUCGAUGA
Molecule: ribosomal RNA, 429 nt
Filed under: Triticum aestivum (bread wheat)
Lineage: Eukaryota; Viridiplantae; Streptophyta; Magnoliopsida; Poales; Poaceae
Description: partial small subunit ribosomal RNA
Source: RNAcentral